AAUCCGUGAUGUGAAUAGAGUCUCAUCAUAUCCUUAUAUCUUUCCCAAGCCUCAAAAAGUGACUCGGUUUCUUUCUGCAUAAAACCGUUUAUUUGACUUCUGAGCAU
Vicia villosa (hairy vetch) is the source of this 107-nucleotide small nucleolar RNA. The record is from RefSeq and is a predicted model, not a curated record. Lineage: Eukaryota; Viridiplantae; Streptophyta; Magnoliopsida; Fabales; Fabaceae.